Molecule: ribosomal RNA, 301 nt
Filed under: uncultured bacterium
Lineage: Bacteria
Description: partial 16S ribosomal RNA
Rfam family: Bacterial small subunit ribosomal RNA
Source: RNAcentral
CAGUAGCCACGGUAAUACGAGGGGGGCAAGCGUUGUUCGGAAUUACUGGGCGUAAAGCGCACGUAGGCGGACAUUUAAGUCAGGGGUGAAAUCCCGGGGCUCAACCCCGGAACUGCCUUUGAUACUGGGUGUCUUGAGUGUGGAAGAGGUCAGUGGAAUUGCGAGUGUAGAGGUGAAAUUCGUAGAUAUUCGCAGGAACACCAGUGGCGAAGGCGGCUGACUGGUCCACAACUGACGCUGAGGUGCGAAAGCGUGGGGAGCAAACAGGAUUAGAUACCCCUGUAGUCCCUGUCUCUUAUAA